UUACCUGGUCUUGACAUCCACGGAAUCCCGAAGAGAUUUGGGAGUGCCGCAAGGAACCGUGAGACAGGUGCUGCAUGGCUGUCGUCAGCUCGUGUCGUGAGAUGUUGGGUUAAGUCCCGCAACGAGCGCAACCCUUGUCCUUAGUUGCCAUCAUUAAGUUGGGAACUCUAAGGAGACCGCCGGUGACAAACCGGAGGAAGGUGGGGAUGACGUCAAGUCAUCAUGGCCUUUAUGACCAGGGCUACACACGUGCUACAAUGGCAGGUACAGAGGGAAGCCAACCCGCGAGGGGGAGCUAAUCCCAGAAAACCUGUCUUAGCCCGGAUUGGAGUCUGCAACUCGACUCCAUGAAGUUGGAAUCGCUAGUAAUCGCAGAUCAGCAUUGCUGCGGUGAAUACGUUCCCGGGUCUUGUACACACCGCCCGUCACACCAUGGGAGUUGAUUGCACCAGAAGCAGGUAGCCUGACCGCAAGGAGGGCGCUUACCACGGUGUGGUUAAUGACUGGGGUGAAGUCGUAACAAGGUAGCC
Molecule: ribosomal RNA, 530 nt
Filed under: uncultured bacterium
Lineage: Bacteria
Description: bacterial SSU rRNA
Rfam family: Bacterial small subunit ribosomal RNA
Source: RNAcentral